Molecule: ribosomal RNA, 2923 nt
Filed under: Bacillus cereus
Lineage: Bacteria; Bacillati; Bacillota; Bacilli; Caryophanales; Bacillaceae
Description: 23S ribosomal RNA
Rfam family: Bacterial large subunit ribosomal RNA
Source: RNAcentral
GGUUAAGUUAGAAAGGGCGCACGGUGGAUGCCUUGACACUAGGAGUCGAUGAAGGACGGGACUAACGCCGAUAUGCUUCGGGGAGCUGUAAGUAAGCUUUGAUCCGAAGAUUUCCGAAUGGGGAAACCCACCAUACGUAAUGGUAUGGUAUCCUUAUCUGAAUACAUAGGGUAAGGAAGACAGACCCAGGGAACUGAAACAUCUAAGUACCUGGAGGAAGAGAAAGCAAAUGCGAUUUCCUGAGUAGCGGCGAGCGAAACGGAACAUAGCCCAAACCAAGAGGCUUGCCUCUUGGGGUUGUAGGACAUUCUAUACGGAGUUACAAAGGAACGAGGUAGACGAAGCGACCUGGAAAGGUCCGUCGUAGAGGGUAACAACCCCGUAGUCGAAACUUCGUUCUCUCUUGAAUGUAUCCUGAGUACGGCGGAACACGUGAAAUUCCGUCGGAAUCUGGGAGGACCAUCUCCCAAGGCUAAAUACUCCCUAGUGAUCGAUAGUGAACCAGUACCGUGAGGGAAAGGUGAAAAGCACCCCGGAAGGGGAGUGAAAGAGAUCCUGAAACCGUGUGCCUACAAAUAGUCAGAGCCCGUUAACGGGUGAUGGCGUGCCUUUUGUAGAAUGAACCGGCGAGUUACGAUCCCGUGCGAGGUUAAGCUGAAGAGGCGGAGCCGCAGCGAAAGCGAGUCUGAAUAGGGCGUUUAGUACGUGGUCGUAGACCCGAAACCAGGUGAUCUACCCAUGUCCAGGGUGAAGUUCAGGUAACACUGAAUGGAGGCCCGAACCCACGCACGUUGAAAAGUGCGGGGAUGAGGUGUGGGUAGCGGAGAAAUUCCAAUCGAACCUGGAGAUAGCUGGUUCUCCCCGAAAUAGCUUUAGGGCUAGCCUUAAGUGUAAGAGUCUUGGAGGUAGAGCACUGAUUGGACUAGGGGUCCUCAUCGGAUUACCGAAUUCAGUCAAACUCCGAAUGCCAAUGACUUAUCCUUAGGAGUCAGACUGCGAGUGAUAAGAUCCGUAGUCAAAAGGGAAACAGCCCAGACCGCCAGCUAAGGUCCCAAAGUGUGUAUUAAGUGGAAAAGGAUGUGGAGUUGCUUAGACAACUAGGAUGUUGGCUUAGAAGCAGCCACCAUUUAAAGAGUGCGUAAUAGCUCACUAGUCGAGUGACUCUGCGCCGAAAAUGUACCGGGGCUAAAUACACCACCGAAGCUGCGGACUGAUACCGAAUGGUAUCAGUGGUAGGGGAGCGUUCUAAGGACAGUGAAGUCAGACCGGAAGGACUGGUGGAGUGCUUAGAAGUGAGAAUGCCGGUAUGAGUAGCGAAAGACGGGUGAGAAUCCCGUCCACCGAAUGCCUAAGGUUUCCUGAGGAAGGCUCGUCCGCUCAGGGUUAGUCAGGACCUAAGCCGAGGCCGACAGGCGUAGGCGAUGGACAACAGGUUGAUAUUCCUGUACCACCUCUUUAUCGUUUGAGCAAUGGAGGGACGCAGAAGGAUAGAAGAAGCGUGCGAUUGGUUGUGCACGUCCAAGCAGUUAGGCUGAUAAGUAGGCAAAUCCGCUUAUCGUGAAGGCUGAGCUGUGAUGGGGAAGCUCCUUAUGGAGCGAAGUCUUUGAUUCCCCGCUGCCAAGAAAAGCUUCUAGCGAGAUAAAAGGUGCCUGUACCGCAAACCGACACAGGUAGGCGAGGAGAGAAUCCUAAGGUGUGCGAGAGAACUCUGGUUAAGGAACUCGGCAAAAUGACCCCGUAACUUCGGGAGAAGGGGUGCUUUCUUAACGGAAAGCCGCAGUGAAUAGGCCCAAGCGACUGUUUAGCAAAAACACAGCUCUCUGCGAAGCCGUAAGGCGAAGUAUAGGGGGUGACACCUGCCCGGUGCUGGAAGGUUAAGGAGAGGGGUUAGCGUAAGCGAAGCUCUGAACUGAAGCCCCAGUAAACGGCGGCCGUAACUAUAACGGUCCUAAGGUAGCGAAAUUCCUUGUCGGGUAAGUUCCGACCCGCACGAAAGGUGUAACGAUUUGGGCACUGUCUCAACCAGAGACUCGGUGAAAUUAUAGUACCUGUGAAGAUGCAGGUUACCCGCGACAGGACGGAAAGACCCCGUGGAGCUUUACUGUAGCCUGAUAUUGAAUUUUGGUACAGUUUGUACAGGAUAGGCGGGAGCCAUUGAAACCGGAGCGCUAGCUUCGGUGGAGGCGCUGGUGGGAUACCGCCCUGACUGUAUUGAAAUUCUAACCUACGGGUCUUAUCGACCCGGGAGACAGUGUCAGGUGGGCAGUUUGACUGGGGCGGUCGCCUCCUAAAGUGUAACGGAGGCGCCCAAAGGUUCCCUCAGAAUGGUUGGAAAUCAUUCGUAGAGUGCAAAGGCAUAAGGGAGCUUGACUGCGAGACCUACAAGUCGAGCAGGGACGAAAGUCGGGCUUAGUGAUCCGGUGGUUCCGCAUGGAAGGGCCAUCGCUCAACGGAUAAAAGCUACCCCGGGGAUAACAGGCUUAUCUCCCCCAAGAGUCCACAUCGACGGGGAGGUUUGGCACCUCGAUGUCGGCUCAUCGCAUCCUGGGGCUGUAGUCGGUCCCAAGGGUUGGGCUGUUCGCCCAUUAAAGCGGUACGCGAGCUGGGUUCAGAACGUCGUGAGACAGUUCGGUCCCUAUCCGUCGUGGGCGUAGGAAAUUUGAGAGGAGCUGUCCUUAGUACGAGAGGACCGGGAUGGACGCACCGCUGGUGUACCAGUUGUUCUGCCAAGGGCAUAGCUGGGUAGCUAUGUGCGGAAGGGAUAAGUGCUGAAAGCAUCUAAGCAUGAAGCCCCCCUCAAGAUGAGAUUUCCCAUAGCGUAAGCUAGUAAGAUCCCUGAAAGAUGAUCAGGUUGAUAGGUUCGAGGUGGAAGCAUGGUGACAUGUGGAGCUGACGAAUACUAAUAGAUCGAGGACUUAACCAU